AUUGAACGCUGGCGGCAUGCCUUACACAUGCAAGUCGAACGGUAACAGGUCUUCGGAUGCUGACGAGUGGCGAACGGGUGAGUAAUACAUCGGAACGUGCCUAGUAGUGGGGGAUAACUACUCGAAAGCGUGGCUAAUACCGCAUGAGAUCUACGGAUGAAAGCAGGGGAUCGCAAGACCUCGUGCUACUAGAGCGGCCGAUGGCAGAUUAGGUAGUUGGUGGGAUAAAAGCUUACCAAGCCGACGAUCUGUAGCUGGUCUGAGAGGACGAUCAGCCACACUGGGAAUGAGAAACGGCCCAGACUCCUACGGGAGGCAGCAGUGGGGAAUUUUGGACAAUGGGCGCAAGCCUGAUCCAGCAAUGCCGCGUGCAGGAUGAAGGCCUUCGGGUUGUAAACUGCUUUUGUACGGAACGAAAAGCCCCGGGUUAAUACCCUGGGGUCAUGACGGUACCGUAAGAAUAAGCACCGGCUAACUACGUGCCAGCCGCCGCGGUAA
This 498-nucleotide ribosomal RNA is filed under the name uncultured bacterium. Its description in RNAcentral is "partial 16S ribosomal RNA". It matches the Rfam family "Bacterial small subunit ribosomal RNA", at positions 30 to 523 of the family's 1533-position model. The record is from RNAcentral.